GCUCGGUCGGACCGCUACAGUGCCGUCCCUCGGGAAGGGCGGGAGGGCCCCGCGGUUCUGGCCCGCCUCCUCCGGAUGCGCUUACUCUAAGCUAUUCAGAGCCUCCCGCCGUUUCCCGAGCGAUUGUGGGUUUCGAUUGUUCUCGAAAACGGAACGGGAACUUGCUCCAAAAGCCGCGCUCGGGCUGCGACUUAUGAGCUUGCUCCCGUUGCCUAAGCCGGUUUGUGGGGGUCUGCAAUCGUUUUGGCCUCAGGAUGCGCUACUGUGGCUGGCGGGGGAAAAAAGGGCUGGGUCCGGUUCGUUGAUGUCUGGGUGGGUUGUUCAGGGCCCGGCUAGUUUGUUUUUGGAACGUAAUGCAAAUUUAAGCAACUGGGUUAACUCAGGAAAUCGUGGUUCGGUUUUAAAAGGAGAGUGCGCGGUACGAACACCGUCACUUCGUACGAAGGUCAAUGCACCGACAGUGAAAAUCGGGCUGAGGAAAAUAAGAUCAGUCAAAUUCUGCUUGCUAUUGAUUAUUAGAAAGGUGCCGUUCUUGCCUUUCUUAGAGGUUAUUAGGACAGUUUAUAAGAAAAUGUCAUAAAAUAAAUUUAAUACACUGAAAUACUCCUUCAUCUACAUUGUUGUACAUCUUUUUUUUAAUGGAGGGGUGAGGGAAGAGAAGAGACCCAUCCUUUUCUUGAUGUCAGAAAAAAUACUGUAAGUAACAAGCAGAUCUGCAGUAGACUAUCUUAGAUGCUGACUGAAAAGUUUCCUUGAUUACAAACCACCCACACUACACCCUCAGGUGGUAAGAAAGCCACAUAGAAGGUCUGCUAAAUGUUUCUAGAUUUGGAUUUGGUAUAUAUGAUGUCAGAGAUACAUUCAUACUCUAUUAAGAUACAAUGGGUAUUGGAUAAACCAAACUGGCUGCAGUCGUAUUACCCUCAACGCCCAAAUAUAUAUACAUUUAAUCACAUUAGGGACUACUAGGGUGUUGUGUGAACUCGGUAGUUACGCUGGUUCUGACAUUUCAAAUGAACAACAGCAUUUUGCACUAGAUUUGGGGGUAGCUCCAGAGUCAAUGCCGGAAUUACCAUACUAGAUGAAACAAUAACAUGGUUUCUUUAAUUUAGGCUCAACAUCCUACAUGACUUCAGCCAUUGCUUAUGACUUGUACGGAAAAGAUUUUGGUGAGAGUCCAGUUGUUUCCGAAUGGUUCCUUAGGGAAGCUCGGUUGAAUUUUACAAGAUUGUGCCUAUUGGCAGUCACUGAAACUGAAGUGAAAAUAAUAAAGGGAAGCAUUGAACUAUACAUCUUUAGGCAAAUACAACUAAAAGAACUGAUGAACAGCUGGAAAUACUAUUCUCUGCAUCCUGGUAGAGAGAGGUUCCUUGAGGAUGGGCUUCACAUGAGUCCAGAAGCUUGGAAGACUAACCUCUAGUCCUGUUGACUGAUCAAGAUUGGAUUCAGUUUACAAUUGAUUCCUGUAUCACAUACAUUCCCCCCACCCCCACUGCCGCUCUAGUACACAAGGAGAAUAAAUACUGGGAAAUGUCAGAUCAGGAAAUCAUAACCCAGUUCCAGGAAGACAAAACUGUUCUCCUACACUGAGUGGGUAGGAAGAGAUUCCAUAACAACUUAUUGAGCAACAACCCCGUGAAGUGGGUUGGAUUGAGAGAGAAUGACUGGCCCAAAGACGCCCAGCUGCCUUUCAUGCCUAAAAUGGGGCUAAAACUCACAAUCUCCUGAUUUCUAGUCUGAUGCCUUUACUUCUAGACUAGAUCAAACUGGCUUAGUGCAUUUCCCGUCAACUGUGGUUUUAUCAAAAAUCCAUGGUUAAGAUACAGCAUGGUUUAAUGUGAAAUAUGGAUCAUCUACUUUCUCUUUUUGUUGUUCAAAGUUCUUGUAUGCUUAUAGUUGAACAGAUUACAAUUUCAAAAAGCUAUUUUGGCAGGCAAAUGGGAGAAUGACAGAAGAAGGGAAAUGAUGUAUCUAAGUGAAGGUGCCCUGCAAAUUAUUUUUAUCAUUUGCCAAGAAUCCAGCAGCAAUAGCUGCUUCAUUUUAAGAUGUCAGAGAUUGUGCUGCAAUUUAAGAAUAAUUUUUCCAGAAAGAAAAUAAUAGUACAGAGGAAGUACUCUAACUUUUCAUAUCAAGACUUACAUCACUUUUUAUGCAGGACAAUUGGAAGCGAAAUUGCCUUCGGCAUGGGUUCAAGAUCAUUCACUUUAGAUGAAUUAUUAUCUUCAUGAACAAAUGAUCUAUCAUGCUUUAAAACACAUUUGAUUAGAAUAAUUUAUAAAAGAAGUAAAGGAACAGAAAUCUCUGCAGAGCCCUGUGAAGUACUGUUUUCUAAUUGGGAACAGAUCACUUAGUGAAAAUUAAACUGAAUUUGAAUUAUUCAAACAAACUUUACACAGCUAAUUUUUCUAUCAUCUAAGAGGUGGUAGUGAUAACGUUACUCUAUGUGUGACAUCUGAGAAGCUAAAAACAAUAACCUGUCCUGCAUGAACAACUUAGGCUGUGAGGCAUCAUGAGACAGUUCACUAGGGCAAGGAAGUGGUCCAGAUCCAAAGAUAUGUCAUGAAUGCACCUGCCAGAAACACCUUAAAACACCUGCAUCUUUUCCUGGGUCCACCCAGCUAUCUUCUCCAACUGCUGCAUGAUCCCAGGAAAAAUUGCUUGGAUUUAGGGUGUUCUGGGCAAAUGCUACAUGCAUGGUCACAAUCACAUUUUGUCUUAGAUUGCUGUGAUGUUUUAUAUAACCUAUUCAUGACUUUGCAAAGCCAAACAGAAGAUGUACUGUUUUUCUGGACUGAGAGUUAUAUUUGACUUUUGAGUGGGAUGCCAAGGACACUUAAAAAAAAUAGUGGGUCAGGCCAGGACAAAAACUAAAUUUUAUUUCAGUUAUAGUAAGUUAAAUGUAAACAUAGUUAAAAUGAUUCAUCAUCAGGGUACCUCAGAAUUAGGCCUGGUUGCAAAUAAAUAGUAUAGUAUAAACAAUAUACUGUUACAUAUUAUAUUUUGAUAACAAUUUUUAGAAAUUCCUAGGAUGUAAAAGUGAAAGAUUUAUUUUGUAUUGGAAGGAAAUAUUUCUUGUCCUAAAGAACCACCAUGGGAAAUGCUUUCUAUUAAAUCAAGGGCUGAACAAGUGUGUAAUGAUGUAUGGGUAACAGAAAAAAAGUGAAUAUAUUUAUUCUUUUAGCAUCGGUACCAUGGUUAUCAUUGAAAUUGUUACUUAGUUGAGUAAAGUUGUAUAAUGAAAUAUCUGUAAGAAAAUAACUAUGCUCUCAGAUAACAUUAAGGACCCAACAAUUCAAUCCUCAUCUACAAAUAUUCUUUUCUAUUAGUCAUGGUUUAUUUAACUGUGGUUUAUUAAAUUACAGCAAUAGCAUUAGCACUUAGACUGCUUCACAGUGCUUUACAGCCCUCUCUAAGCGAUGACAGAGUCAGC
Molecule: long non-coding RNA, 3430 nt
Organism: Thamnophis elegans (Western terrestrial garter snake)
Lineage: Eukaryota; Metazoa; Chordata; Lepidosauria; Squamata; Natricidae
Exons: 5
Source: RefSeq, a predicted model, not a curated record